This 253-nucleotide ribosomal RNA is filed under the name uncultured bacterium. Its description in RNAcentral is "partial 16S ribosomal RNA". It matches the Rfam family "Bacterial small subunit ribosomal RNA", at positions 524 to 776 of the family's 1533-position model. The record is from RNAcentral.
UACAGAGGGUGCAAGCGUUAAUCGGAAUUACUGGGCGUAAAGCGUGCGUAGACGGUUGCGUAAGUCAGGUGUGAAAGCCCCGGGCUCAACCUGGGAAUUGCAUUUGAGACUGCGUAGCUAGGGUGCGGAAGAGGGAAGCGGAAUUUCCGGUGUAGCGGUGAAAUGCGUAGAUAUCGGAAGGAACACCAGUGGCGAAAGCGGCUUCCUGGUCCAGCACCGACGUUCAGGCACGAAAGCGUGGGGAGCAAACAGG